CGGCUGGCUAGGGCUGCGCGGCGCCGCCUGCGGCUCCCGGCUCCCGCUCUCCCGGCCGCCGAGCCCGAGCUGCCGUGGGCGGGGCCUGUGGUGAUUGGCGGGCAGGCGGGGAGGUCGGAAGUACUUUGUUUUUUAUGCUAAUGAGGGAGUGGGGCUUGUCCGUAUUUACGUUGAGGCGGGAGCCGCCGCCCUUCAUUCACCCACAUGGUCUUUCGAGGUGCCGCUGCUGCCGCCCGGCCCGCGCCUUCGCGCCACUUCGCGCCCUCCGGCGAGGCCGAGGGGGUGGGGACGGCCACCGCCGCGCCGCCACGGCUCGCGCCCCUUCGCGAAGCCCCCUCCACGGGGCGGACCGGCGGACUGGCCCUCCUCACCCCCCGGCCUGGGGCCUUCGGUCGUAGAAAAGCGGAGGUGGGUGGGGAGGCGGGAGCGAGAGCCCGCGACGGGCCAGGCGAAGAUGGUGGCGGCUACUCCUCCCGUCAUACACGUGGACCUAGCAGCACCAAAAGCUUUCCUGAGGAUACUUGUCUGAGAAGUUUUCCUAAAUGGUGGGUAAGUAUAUUUUAGUUUUUUUAAGUUAAUUUCUCUUCUGUAUUUUAGUUUUUUAAGUUAAUUUUUCGUCUAAACACAAUUUUGCUGGGGUUUUAAGCAUGACAUAGGUGUUUGUCAAGUUUAUCUUUCCUAGAAAAAUAAUUCAUUUUGUAUGGGUCAGCUAGCUUUAUUAAGGUACUAAAGUACAGUGCAAGUAUUUAUGGAGACGAUAAGAAAUACUUUUAGCUCUUUUUAAGUUGGGUGAUUAAACUAGAUCUAAUUUUGGGGUGGUAAAUUUAAGAUUGUAAGCAGUAUAUUGAAUUUGCAUAACUAAAACUUGAAAUGUAGUUCAAACAGUAACUUUGUUAAUCAUCUGCUCAAGAAUUUGCUAAUGAGACGUCAGAAGAAAAGAAAAUGCUUUGCCACGUGGAUGUGAAGAUUAUCUCCAAAAGGUACUCAGGAGUCAAAUUGCCCUGUUAAUACUAUUUCCAUUUAUGUGCAGUGGUUUUGAUUUUCUCAUGGUAUGUAUGUGAAAGACCAAGUACAAAGAAGAGCCACCAAUCUCUCGGUGUUACAGUAGUGACUGUUAUGCCUUCUAUAAAGAAUCACCUAUUUUUUUAAGGUUUAAAUAUCUAAAUGGAACCUGUAGAAACUUAAUUUUCUCUUCUUUGUUAGAGGUUAUGCAGAAAUUCAUGUGUUUCACAGCUCUAGAGUUUCAGGUGGUACUCUUAUCUAAUUAUUUAUUUCAAAUUUAGCAGGAGUAAAAACAUCACCUUGUAAAACUGAAGAUUGUGACCAGUCAGAAUAAUGUCAAAGUGCUUACAGUGCAGGUAGUGAUAUGUGCAUCUACUGCAGUGAAGGCACUUGUAGCAUUAUGGUGACAGCUGCCUCGGGGAGCCAAGCUGGGCUUUAAACCUCAGGGCCUGCUGAUGUUGAGUGCUUUUUGUUCUAAGGUGCAUCUAGUGCAGAUAGUGAAGUAGAUUAGCAUCUACUGCCCUAAGUGCUCCUUCUGGCAUAAGAAGUUAUGUUUUCAUCCAAUAAUUCAAGCAAGUAUGUAGGGGUUUUCAUAGUUUUUGUUUGCAGUUCUCUGUUAGUUUUGCAUAGUUGCACUACAAGAAGAAUGUAGUUGUGCAAAUCUAUGCAAAACUGAUGGUGUCCUGCUAUUUCCUUCAAGUGAUUUUUACUAAUUUUUGUGUACUUUUGUGUCGAUGUAGAAUCUGCCUGGUGUAGCUGAUUUGACAGCUUCUGUAGCACUAAAGUGCUUAUAGUGCAGGUAGUGUUUCAUUAUCUACUGCAUUAUGAGCACUUAAAGUACUGCUAGCUGUGGAACUCCACCUUCGGCCUGUCUCCCAGUCAAACUGUCCUGUUAACUGAACACUGUUCUAUGGUUAGUUUUGCAGGUUUGCAUCCAGCUGUGUGAUACUCUGCUGUGCAAAUCCAUGCAAAACUGACUGUGGUGGUGAAAAGUCUGUAGAAAAGUAAGGGAAAAUCAAACCCCUUUCUACACAGGUUGGGAUCGGUUGCAAUGCUGUGUUUCUGUAUGGUAUUGCACUUGUCCCGGCCUGUUGAGUUUGGUGGGGAUUGUGACCAGAAGAUUUGGAAAUUAAUAUUGAAGAUUCCAAUAUGCUGUAAAAUACUCAAGAGAUACAAAACAGAAAAAUGUUCUGUAACUUCUAUUAGUUUUGUCAGUGUAAAGCAUCUUUUUAUUUCUUGAAAUUAAAUGUUAUCUUUUGUCCUGAAAAACUUCAAUUUGGUUGAAUGUCAGAUUUAGUUGUAAAUUGACUAUCAAGUGUUCUAAUAUGAUUGUGGUGUGGCAGAAAAAUUUGCUGUGAAUACAUGGCUGUCUGUAAAGUUAAGAGUUUUUGUUCACUUUGGACAUAAUGUUCAGGAAGUUUUACUUAAGCAUAUGGGUUUUAAAAAAAAAACAAACAGUCAUUUGAGGAUGAGGUUUUUCCCAGAAAAUAGCUAGUUUUUUCCUGAGACAUGAGUUCUUGGUGUUUAACAGUUAAGUGGUUGUACACUAGUUUUUCUUUGUAUAUUAUCUUGUAAGGGACUGAUACAGGAUUCCCCAGACUAACCUUACCAUCUGAAACCCAAAAAAGGAAUUAAAAAGAAAAAAGGCAAGUUGGUGCAUAUAUAUGCAUACUGCCCUAAUGCUAGCCAUAUAACAAUGGGGCUAAAAUAUGAAAUCAUUUCUCCCAAGAAUAUAGUUAAUAUUUAGGUUCCCUCCUUAUAAGCUUGACUUGCAAAAAUGAGGAUUGAUUCCAGGCUGGUGUGAACCGUUUUAUCUGACUUUUCUGCCUUUUGCUUUUGUUUCAUGUGUUUUAUCUCUAGUCUGUUACUUACAAAUAAAUAAAUGCAUGGGUUAGCUUGACA
Molecule: long non-coding RNA, 2904 nt
Filed under: Castor canadensis (American beaver)
Lineage: Eukaryota; Metazoa; Chordata; Mammalia; Rodentia; Castoridae
Description: lncRNA (ENSCCNG00000010071.1)
Rfam family: mir-19 microRNA precursor family (bases 1909-1987)
Source: RNAcentral